This 90-nucleotide transfer RNA is filed under the name Fibrella aquatilis. RNAcentral describes it as "tRNA-Pro". It matches the Rfam family "tRNA". From Rfam's summary of the family: Transfer RNA (tRNA) molecules are approximately 80 nucleotides in length. Their secondary structure includes four short double-helical elements and three loops (D, anti-codon, and T loops). Further hydrogen bonds mediate the characteristic L-shaped molecular structure. tRNAs have two regions of fundamental functional importance: the anti-codon, which is responsible for specific mRNA codon recognition, and the 3' end, to which the tRNAs corresponding amino acid is attached (by aminoacyl-tRNA synthetases). tRNAs cope with the degeneracy of the genetic code in two manners: having more than one tRNA (with a specific anti-codon) for a particular amino acid; and 'wobble' base-pairing, i.e. permitting non-standard base-pairing at the 3rd anti-codon position. The record is from RNAcentral. Lineage: Bacteria; Pseudomonadati; Bacteroidota; Cytophagia; Cytophagales; Spirosomataceae.
CGGGGUGUAGCGCAGCCUGGUAGCGCGCUACGUUCGGGACGUAGAGGUCGUGGACGGUCCGCCGCUGCGGUUCGAAUCCCGCCACCCCGA